GCUGAAAUUAGGGCGAUGCUGGGAGACGUGAAGGACACGAGCGGGGAGGUGAAGCAGUUGGAGGAGCAGGCGGCUGCGGUGCUGAAGGCGGCGCGGGCGGAGAUCGCGGCGGCGCUGAACCAGAUGAAGAAGGAGACGGCCGUGGAGCUGGAGGCGAAGCUGCUGGAGGGGAAGAAGAGGGUGGAGGCGGAGCUGGCGGAGGCGUUGGCGGCGCUGGAGGCGCAGAAAGAGGAGACGAUCAAGGCGCUUGAUUCGCAGAUUGCGGCGCUCAGUGAUGAGAUUGUCCAGAAGGUGUUGCCGGUCAAGUGAGGC
Molecule: unclassified non-coding RNA, 312 nt
Filed under: Hevea brasiliensis (rubber tree)
Lineage: Eukaryota; Viridiplantae; Streptophyta; Magnoliopsida; Malpighiales; Euphorbiaceae
Source: RNAcentral